RNAcentral lists this ribosomal RNA (253 nucleotides) under uncultured bacterium. Its description in RNAcentral is "partial 16S ribosomal RNA". It matches the Rfam family "Bacterial small subunit ribosomal RNA", at positions 524 to 776 of the family's 1533-position model. The record is from RNAcentral.
UACGUAGGUGGCAAGCGUUGUCCGGAUUUACUGGGCGUAAAGGGCGUGCAGGCGGUUUGUUAAGUCUAGGGUGAAAGCUCCCGGCUCAACUGGGAGAGGUCCUUGGAUACUGGCGAACUUGAGGGAUGCAGAGGAAAGUGGAAUUCCCGGUGUAGUGGUGAUAUGCGUAGAGAUCCGGAGGAAUACCAGAGGCGAAGGCGGCCAACUGGGCUUGUUCUGACGCUGAGGUGCGAAAGCGUGGGGAGCGAACAGG